Molecule: ribosomal RNA, 486 nt
Filed under: uncultured bacterium
Lineage: Bacteria
Description: partial 16S ribosomal RNA
Rfam family: Bacterial small subunit ribosomal RNA
Source: RNAcentral
AUUGAACGCUGGCGGCAUGCCUUACACAUGCAAGUCGAACGGCAGCACGGGUGCUUGCACCUGGUGGCGAGUGGUGAACGGGUGAGUAAUACAUCGGAACAUGUCCUGUAGUGGGGGAUAGCCCGGCGAAAGCCGGAUUAAUACCGCAUACGAUCCACGGAUGAAAGCGGGGGACCUUCGGGCCUCGCGCUAUAGGGUUGGCCGAUGGCUGAUUAGCUAGUUGGUGGGGUAAAGGCCUACCAAGGCGACGAUCAGUAGCUGGUCUGAGAGGACGACCAGCCACACUGGGACUGAGACACGGCCCAGACUCCUACGGGAGGCAGCAGUGGGGAAUUUUGGACAAUGGGCGAAAGCCUGAUCCAGCAAUGCCGCGUGUGUGAAGAAGGCCUUCGGGUUGUAAAGCACUUUUGUCCGGAAAGAAAUCCUUGGCUCUAAUACAGUCGGGGGAUGACGGUACCGGAAGAAUAAGCACCGGCUAACUACGUG